Molecule: ribosomal RNA, 773 nt
Filed under: uncultured bacterium
Lineage: Bacteria
Description: bacterial SSU rRNA
Rfam family: Bacterial small subunit ribosomal RNA
Source: RNAcentral
AGAGUUUGAUCAUGGCUCAGGACGAACGCUGGCGGCGUGCUUAACACAUGCAAGUCGAACGGAAAGGCCCUUCGGGGUACUCGAGUGGCGAACGGGUGAGUAACACGUGGGUGAUCUGCCCUGCACUUUGGGAUAAGCCUGGGAAACUGGGUCUGAUACCGAAUAGGACCACGCGCUUCAUGGUGUGUGGUGGAAAGCUUUUGCGGUGUGGGAUGGGCCCGCGGCCUAUCAGCUUGUUGGUGGGGUAAUGGCCUACCAAGGCGACGACGGGUAGCCGGCCUGAGAGGGUGACCGGCCACACUGGGACUGAGAUACGGCCCAGACUCCUACGGGAGGCAGCAGUGGGGAAUAUUGCACAAUGGGCGCAAGCCUGAUGCAGCGACGCCGCGUGAGGGAUGACGGCCUUCGGGUUGUAAACCUCUUUCAAUAGGGACGAAGCGCAAGUGACGGUACCUAUAGAAGAAGCACCGGCCAACUACGUGCCAGCAGCCGCGGUAAUACGUAGGGUGCGAGCGUUGUCCAGAAUUACUGGGCGUAAAGAGCUCGUAGGUGGUUUGUCGCGUUGUUCGUGAAAACUCACAGCUUAACUGUGGGCGUGCGGGCGAUACGGGCAGACUAGAGUACUGCAGGGGAGACUGGAAUUCCUGGUGUAGCGGUGGAAUGCGCAGAUAUCAGGAGGAACACCGGUGGCGAAGGCGGGUCUCUGGGCAGUAACUGACGCUGAGGAGCGAAAGCGUGGGGAGCGAACAGGAUUAGAUACCCCGGUAGUCCAA